This 831-nucleotide ribosomal RNA is filed under the name uncultured archaeon. RNAcentral's name for it is "bacterial SSU rRNA". It matches the Rfam family "Archaeal small subunit ribosomal RNA", at positions 39 to 878 of the family's 1478-position model. The record is from RNAcentral.
UUCGACUAAGCCAUGCGAGUCGAGAGGGUUCGGCCCUCGGCGUACUGCUCAGUAACACGUGGAUAACCUGCCCUAGGGAAGGGGAUAACCCCGGGAAACUGGGGAUAAUACCCUAUAGAUUACAGAUGCUGGAAUGCCCUGUAAUCCAAAGUUCCGACGCCCUAGGAUGGAUCUGCGGCCGAUUAGGUUGUUGUUGGGGUAAUGGCCCAACAAGCCCGUAAUCGGUACGGGUUGUGGGAGCAAGAGCCCGGAGUUGGAUUCUGAGACACGAAUCCAGGCCCUACGGGGCGCAGCAGGCGCGAAAACUUUACAAUGCGGGCAACCGUGAUAAGGGAACCUCGAGUGCCUGUAAAUGCAGGCUGUUCAGGUGCCUAAAACACACCUGAAGAAAGGGCCGGGCAAGACCGGUGCCAGCCGCCGCGGUAAUACCGGCGGCUCGAGUGGUGGCCGCUUUUAUUGGGCUUAAAGCGUUCGUAGCUGGGUUGUUAAGUCUCUUGGGAAAUCUGGCGGCUUAACCGUCAGGCGUCUAAGGGAUACUGGCAAUCUUGGAACCGGGAGAGGUGAGGGGUACUUCGGGGGUAGGAGUGAAAUCCUGUAAUCCUCGAGGGACCACCUGUGGCGAAGGCGCCUCACCAGAACGGCUUCGACAGUGAGGGACGAAAGCUGGGGGAGCAAACCGGAUUAGAUACCCGGGUAGUCCCAGCCGUAAACUAUGCGCGUUAGGUGUAUCGGUGACCACGAGUUACCGAGGUGCCGAAGGGAAACCGUGAAACGUGCCGCCUGGGAAGUACGGUCGCAAGGCUGAAACUUAAAGGAAUUGGCGGGGGAGCA